Molecule: long non-coding RNA, 1151 nt
Filed under: Anas platyrhynchos platyrhynchos (common mallard)
Lineage: Eukaryota; Metazoa; Chordata; Aves; Anseriformes; Anatidae
Description: lncRNA (ENSAPLG00000025995.1)
Source: RNAcentral
UUUUAAUCUUUCCUCUGUUACUUGAAGACCUUUUUUUCCAAUUGCAUCUUUCUUAGGAAAAAAUCUUGGAAUGUAUUUGCUGUUGAUGUAAGUGGUAGGAAUAUCAGGAAUUUGUGCUGGUAAAAUUGUACAUAAAAGUAGGUAUUCAAAAUCAGUUGGUGUGAUGGUGAUGUUCACAGUACCUUAAAAGCCAAGCGACAGCAACAGCUCAACAAAAAGUACAUAGGUUUUUCCUCAUCUUUUCUGGGAUCAGUUGGUUUAGUGGUAGUUAAUAUGAGGGGAAAAAAAAAAUUAUAUUGACCAGGGGAUGGAAACCAUUUUGAAAUAAGCUUUCUUCUGAAGGAAUUCUGCAAUUGAAAGUGUGCACCAAACCAGGCACAUAUAAAUCAGCACGCUACAAAUCUCAGCUUCUGUCUGAUUACAGCAGCCCUGAGCACCUGGCAGCUUCCACCACGGCUGGUGACAGCGACUGAAUCAUCUGUGCAACUUCUGAGUCAGCUUGGGUACCGACAUGGGCAGUCUCUACACCAGUACUUUUGGAAGACCAGGGAGCAUUCUCUGGCAAUGACAUCAACCAACAUAAAACAACUCCUCUCACCUGAAAUAAUGCCUAGACUUUUCCCCUAAAAUGGACUAGCUACAUGCAGACAGCCUACUGGAAAUGGUCAAUGUCCUCAAAAAGCUCCCAAAGCUUUUUGGAAUUGUUUGGGACAACACUAACCAAUAGUGCUAGCUAGUCCCAGUCAUGCCACAGCCUGAGCUGACAAUUCAAUAGCACACAGGAUCAAGGUCCAGUGCUAAGGAAUAUUCCCUGACAGCUUUUAGUUCAACAGUAUGAAUUUGUCCACAGAAACCAACUUUACCUAUUAUGAAAAUAUUAUUAUUAUUUCUUUAGCAGCCCAGGAAAGCAAAAUGGAGAAAAUACUUAGGUAAUAUGAAAAGCUGUCUUUCAGUUCCUCAUGAUAACAGACAUUCAGAGUAUCUCAAAGCUGUUUCCAAACUCUACAUAUUUUACUUACAUUUUAGGCAGGCCAGUGUUUCUAUGGCAAAGCUCUAACCAAACACCUGGGAGUAAAUGAGUGUUUGACUAAAAACUGUCAAAUAUAGCUUUUUGUGUUUAUUUAUAUAUGAAUUUUCACUCAACUAAUGCA